This is a transfer RNA of Bathycoccus prasinos, 80 nucleotides long. It matches the Rfam family "tRNA". Rfam says of the family: Transfer RNA (tRNA) molecules are approximately 80 nucleotides in length. Their secondary structure includes four short double-helical elements and three loops (D, anti-codon, and T loops). Further hydrogen bonds mediate the characteristic L-shaped molecular structure. tRNAs have two regions of fundamental functional importance: the anti-codon, which is responsible for specific mRNA codon recognition, and the 3' end, to which the tRNAs corresponding amino acid is attached (by aminoacyl-tRNA synthetases). tRNAs cope with the degeneracy of the genetic code in two manners: having more than one tRNA (with a specific anti-codon) for a particular amino acid; and 'wobble' base-pairing, i.e. permitting non-standard base-pairing at the 3rd anti-codon position. Lineage: Eukaryota; Viridiplantae; Chlorophyta; Mamiellophyceae; Mamiellales; Bathycoccaceae. The record is from Rfam.
GGCAGCGUGGCCGAGUGGUCUAAGGCGCCGGAUUCAGGCUCCGGUCCGCAAGGGCGAGGGUUCAAAUCCCUCCGCUGUCA